AAGAAAGUGGGGCUGAAAGCGUGGAGCUUGAAGAAAUAAUGGCUGAAAACUUCCUAAAUUUGGUGAAAUACAUAAACCUACAGAUUCAAGAAGCCAAUUGAACCUCAAAUAGAAUAAAGUCCCUGCCAAGACACAUCAUAAUCAAACGUCUGAAAACUAAAGACAAAAGCAUCUUAAAACCAAAGGAACAAAAUGAAAAAAGACAUUAAUUAUAGGAAAGCACCCAUUUGGAUUUCUCAUAUGGAACAAUGGAGACCAGAAGGAAGUGGUACCACAUUUUUCAAGACAAGAAAUCCAAAUUGGAGUUUUCCAUAGUUCCAGCUACUCAGCAGGCUGAGGCAGAAGGACCACUUGAGCCCAGGAGUUGGAGGCUACAGUGAGGUCAGCAGAAGACUCAAGGGGGAUGGAUCACAAAUUAAGUACCAGUGAUUACAGUCGAAAGGCUGAGCGGUCAGUUAUAAAUGGGAUCAUCUGGAUUUUGCAUUAAGUGUCCGUUUCAUUUUUUCAUCUCUCCUCUACAGGUCUGACCAGAUCGUUAGCCCAUUCACACUUUCAGAAGCCUUAAACCUUCUCAGUCCAAAGGAUAGAC
This 589-nucleotide long non-coding RNA is filed under the name Homo sapiens (human). RNAcentral's name for it is "HSALNT0372346". Lineage: Eukaryota; Metazoa; Chordata; Mammalia; Primates; Hominidae. The record is from RNAcentral.